GCACCCGUAGCUCAGCUGGAUAGAGCGUUGCCCUCCGAAGGCAAAGGUCGAGCGUUCGAAUCGCCCCGGGUGCACCA
RNAcentral lists this transfer RNA (77 nucleotides) under Rhodospirillaceae bacterium. RNAcentral's name for it is "tRNA-Arg". It matches the Rfam family "tRNA". From Rfam's summary of the family: Transfer RNA (tRNA) molecules are approximately 80 nucleotides in length. Their secondary structure includes four short double-helical elements and three loops (D, anti-codon, and T loops). Lineage: Bacteria; Pseudomonadati; Pseudomonadota; Alphaproteobacteria; Rhodospirillales; Rhodospirillaceae. The record is from RNAcentral. RNAcentral also lists the same sequence under 1 other name.